RNAcentral lists this small nuclear RNA (103 nucleotides) under Catagonus wagneri (Chacoan peccary). RNAcentral describes it as "U2 spliceosomal RNA (ENSCWAG00000021309.1)". It matches the Rfam family "U2 spliceosomal RNA". From Rfam's summary of the family: U2 is a small nuclear RNA (snRNA) component of the spliceosome (involved in pre-mRNA splicing). Complementary binding between U2 snRNA (in an area lying towards the 5' end but 3' to hairpin I) and the branchpoint sequence (BPS) of the intron results the bulging out of an unpaired adenosine, on the BPS, which initiates a nucleophilic attack at the intronic 5' splice site, thus starting the first of two transesterification reactions that mediate splicing. Lineage: Eukaryota; Metazoa; Chordata; Mammalia; Artiodactyla; Tayassuidae. The record is from RNAcentral.
AUCAUUUCUCCGCCUUUUGUCUUAUAUCAAGUGUAGUAUCUGUUCUUAACAGUUUAACAUCUGAUACAUUGUCUACAUCCAAGGACAAUAUAUUAGAAUCUGA